AACGAACGCUGGCGGCAUGCCUAAUACAUGCAAGUCGAACGAGACCUUCGGGUCUAGUGGCGCACGGGUGCGUAACGCGUGGGAACCUGCCCUUAGGUUCGGAAUAACUCCCCGAAAGGGGUGCUAAUACCGGAUAAUGUCUUCGGACCAAAGAUUUAUCGCCGUUGGAUGGGCGCGCGUUGGAUUAGCUAGUUGGUAGGGUAAAAGCCUACCAAGGCGACGAUCCAUAGCUGGUCUGAGAGGAUGAUCAGCCACACUGGGACUGAGACACGGCCCAGACUCCUACGGGAGGGAGCAGUGGGGAAUAUUGGACAAUGGGCGAAAGCCUGAUCCAGCAAUGCCGCGUGAGUGAUGAAGGCCUUAGGGUUGUAAAGCUCUUUUACCCGGGAUGAUAAUGACAGUACCGGGAGAAUAAGCUCCGGCUAACUCCGUG
RNAcentral lists this ribosomal RNA (433 nucleotides) under uncultured bacterium. Its description in RNAcentral is "partial 16S ribosomal RNA". It matches the Rfam family "Bacterial small subunit ribosomal RNA", at positions 29 to 507 of the family's 1533-position model. The record is from RNAcentral.